Molecule: transfer RNA, 77 nt
Filed under: Nostoc linckia z1
Lineage: Bacteria; Bacillati; Cyanobacteriota; Cyanophyceae; Nostocales; Nostocaceae
Also listed under: 12 other names
Description: tRNA-His
Rfam family: tRNA
About the family: Transfer RNA (tRNA) molecules are approximately 80 nucleotides in length. Their secondary structure includes four short double-helical elements and three loops (D, anti-codon, and T loops). Further hydrogen bonds mediate the characteristic L-shaped molecular structure. tRNAs have two regions of fundamental functional importance: the anti-codon, which is responsible for specific mRNA codon recognition, and the 3' end, to which the tRNAs corresponding amino acid is attached (by aminoacyl-tRNA synthetases). tRNAs cope with the degeneracy of the genetic code in two manners: having more than one tRNA (with a specific anti-codon) for a particular amino acid; and 'wobble' base-pairing, i.e. permitting non-standard base-pairing at the 3rd anti-codon position.
Source: RNAcentral
GUGUCUGAAGCCAAAGCGGUCGAGGCGCUGGUUUGUGGAACCAGUCAGAGCGGGUUCGAGUCCCGUCAGGCACCCCU